AACGAACGCUGGCGGCAGGCUUAACACAUGCAAGUCGAGCGCCCCGCAAGGGGAGCGGCAGACGGGUGAGUAACGCGUGGGAACAUACCCUUUAGUACGGAAUAGCCUCGGGAAACUGGGAUUAAUACCGUAUACGCCUACGGGGAAAGAUUAUCGCUAAAGGAUUGGCCCGCGUUGGAUUAGCUAGUUGGUGAGGUAAUGGCUCACCAAGGCGACGAUCUAUAGCUGGUCUGAGAGGAUGAUCAGCCACACUGGGACUGAGACACGGCCCAGACUCCUACGGGAGGCAGCAGUGGGGAAUAUUGGACAAUGGGCGAAAGCCUGAUCCAGCCAUGCCGCGUGAGUGAUGAAGGCCCUAGGGUUGUAAAGCUCUUUCGCUAGAGAAGAUAAUGAUGGUAUCUAGUAAAGAAGCCCGGCUAACUUCGUG
RNAcentral lists this ribosomal RNA (427 nucleotides) under uncultured bacterium. Its description in RNAcentral is "bacterial SSU rRNA". It matches the Rfam family "Bacterial small subunit ribosomal RNA", at positions 29 to 507 of the family's 1533-position model. The record is from RNAcentral.